RNAcentral lists this ribosomal RNA (207 nucleotides) under uncultured bacterium. RNAcentral's name for it is "partial 16S ribosomal RNA". It matches the Rfam family "Bacterial small subunit ribosomal RNA", at positions 568 to 774 of the family's 1533-position model. The record is from RNAcentral.
CUCGUAGGCGGUUCGUCGCGUCCGGUGUGAAAGUCCAUCGCUUAACGGUGGAUCCGCGCCGGGUACGGGCGGGCUUGAGUGCGGUAGGGGAGACUGGAAUUCCCGGUGUAACGGUGGAAUGUGUAGAUAUCGGGAAGAACACCAAUGGCGAAGGCAGGUCUCUGGGCCAUCACUGACGCUGAGGAGCGAAAGCGUGGGGAGCGAACA